GACGAACGCUGGCGGCGUGCUUAACACAUGCAAGUCGAACGGACAGGUCAGGCUUGCGCGGUACUCGCGUGGCGAACGGGUGGGUAACACGUACGUGAUCUGCCCUGCUCUCUGAGUUAAGCCUCUGCAGCUGGGUCUAAUAACUGCCGUGUACUUACUUCGCCUGCUGUGUGGUGGAGAGCUUUUGCGGUUUGGUAUGGGCCCGCGGCCUAUCAGCUUGUUGGUGGGGUAAUGGCCUACCAAGGCGACGACGGGUAGCCGACCUGAGAGGGUGAUAGGCCACACAGGGACUGAGACACGGCCCAGGCUGCUACGGGAGGCAGAAGUGGGGAAUAUUGCACGAUGAGCGCAAGCCGGAUGCAGCGACGCCGCGUGAGGGAUAACGGUCUUCGGGUUGUAGACCACUUUCACAAGGGACGAAGCGUGAGUGACGGUACCUGGAGAAGAAGCACCGGCCAACUACGUG
This 466-nucleotide ribosomal RNA is filed under the name uncultured bacterium. RNAcentral describes it as "partial 16S ribosomal RNA". It matches the Rfam family "Bacterial small subunit ribosomal RNA", at positions 28 to 507 of the family's 1533-position model. The record is from RNAcentral.